Photinus pyralis (common eastern firefly) is the source of this 1346-nucleotide long non-coding RNA. RefSeq lists it as uncharacterized. NCBI's taxonomy places the organism in Eukaryota, Metazoa, Arthropoda, Insecta, Coleoptera, Lampyridae. The transcript has 2 exons. The record is from RefSeq and is a predicted model, not a curated record.
CACUUGCUCUUGUCAAUUACCCAGCUAAAUUAAUUUGCCAAAGACAUUUAAGUGUAUUCAAGUACAAAUUAUAUAAAAAACCACGAAUCGAUGGUAUCUAAUGCGGGAUGAAAGGUCAUACAAUAGAAGUUUCCAUCAUAGAGACAUAGGAUCUGCAUCUAAUGUCUGACAAAAUUCGGCAUAGCCUGAACAAAUUCUACAAAAAUGAAUCAAAAAAUAGAGGGCGUAGUGCACACAUAGAUAGCAUAAUUAAAAUUACUGACACUAUUUCAAGAAAACUAACCAAUAUAGCAACUUUAGAGGAUUGCGCCACACAUGAUUUUACAUUUACAAAUAAAAAUGCAGACGUCUACUCCAAAGCAUUAAAAUGCCAUGAAGAGAAGUUACAAGAAUACUACUUAAGGUGGUGGGAAAAAGUAGAAAGGGGGGUAUUAUCGGUCGGCCAUGUUUGAGGUAUACAAAAGAUUGUUAUUUCAAACUACUAUGUGAGUCAUAGGUAUUGUCGUCAUGUUUAAUUAACUUGGGCGUUGAGAGUAAUUAUAAUAGAUAAAUACUGUUGUUAAUACUACACAGAAAUUUUGUCAUUUUGGAGGAAUUGUAAAUUCGUCAUGUUUGAGGUAUUUACAUAAGAAGAAUGGAAUACCCAGUUAUUUACUAUAAAUAACAUUCAACACUAGAGACAUCUGGAGAUUGAAAUGUGCAUUUAUGAAACAUUUAAGCGUUGGCCUAUCUAGGACCAAAGAUUCGUUGCUAGAACUGUUAAUUGUUCAAUUGUUGACUUUCAUUUUUAUUGAAUUUCAUGAAAAACCAAAUGUAAUAAUUUGACUACCAAAAUGGGUAUUGUAAUGACAGCAAGAUGAAUGUGGCGCUGGCUGUGAUCGAUUCCUUAAUAUAGUGACUAUAUAGAAACUGUUUUCCAUAUGCUCAUAUCCGCCAUUUUUUUUCCAAAUUUAUCACUGAGCUUAUGGGGGAAUCACAUAUGUAUUUUGAGUGUUUAUAGACUAAUUAUAUGGUGCGAUUUACGCAAAUUUUGCACUGAAGUUUCCUUGUAGAGAAUUUUAUUACCUUCAAUGCGCAUGUAAUAGCCAUUUGAUUAAAUACCUACGGAGAAAACCUUAAAAUCAAUCCAACAUUAUUUUGUGUACCUACAUAAAUCAGGUACCUACGUUUGAAACAGUUGCUUACACAUGACACAACCUAAUUUCAAUUAGUAUUGGUUUGCGUACGUAUCCCAGAUGUUCUAUGGUACGUAUACCAAACCCAUAAAAGGCACGAAAUGUAAUUAUACCCAUUAGAAUUUGGAAUUGUUCAGGCGUAAGUAUACUGGAAAUAAAAAACAAAGACCU